CAGUAGCCGCGGUAAUACGUAGGGUGCAAGCGUUAAUCGGAAUUACUGGGCGUAAAGCGUGCGCAGGCGGUUUGUUAAGACAGAUGUGAAAUCCCCGGGCUCAACCUGGGAACUGCAUUUGUGACUGGCAAGCUAGAGUCUGGCAGAGGGGGGUGGAAUUCCGCGUGUAGCAGUGAAAUGCGUAGAUAUGCGGAGGAACACCGAUGGCGAAGGCAGCCCCCUGGGCCAACACUGACGCUCAUGCACGAAAGCGUGGGGAGCAAACAGGAUUAGAUACCCCGGUAGUCCUGUCUCUUAUACA
Molecule: ribosomal RNA, 301 nt
Filed under: uncultured bacterium
Lineage: Bacteria
Description: partial 16S ribosomal RNA
Rfam family: Bacterial small subunit ribosomal RNA
Source: RNAcentral